Molecule: long non-coding RNA, 286 nt
Filed under: Elaeis guineensis (African oil palm)
Lineage: Eukaryota; Viridiplantae; Streptophyta; Magnoliopsida; Arecales; Arecaceae
Description: long non-coding RNA (EGUI_LNC078357)
Source: RNAcentral
GACCUAUUGAUGUCUAAGACAAGUUAAUGAGAUGUGAUUAUUUAAUUAAUUUUGUUAGCUGAUCUGAUCAAUUUAUUGAUGUCUAAAGAAGGCAACGGGGGGAUCUCCAUCGAUCUCCACUUAUCUUAUCAAUUUGAAAGAUUGGAUCUUGAAUUAGGUUGCUUAGAAGUUUGAUUUAGCCCAUGCCAGUUAGAUCGGUCAUAUGAUGACUGAUUAAAUAAGAUCUAAACCUAAAUCUCUCCACAAAUAUUAAGUCCAUAGGUCUUCCAUCAUUAUAGAUGUGCGG